UAGGUUUGUCGUGGACGCAAUCACUUGUUUGCUCGGCGGCGGCGCUCCAGACCGUGGUCGCUCCCUCCUCAGAUCCCCUUCUUAGCCCCUAUGCCUGCGGGGAGCAAGCUGCGGCUGGCUGGCCCCCUCCCCACAUCUGCUCGCACCUCCCCGCAUCUUAUCACGGCGCGGCGAAUCCGAUGCGAUCUCCUUGAGCACUUGCGUCCGAGUGUGAAGGAGACAGAUCGCCGCGCGAUAGGAUGGAUGGGAGCCUCCUUGCGCGACUCCAUUCGUCAGAUUCUCCGCCUCCACGCAGGGGAGCACGGAGGCGCAAGCCAUCGAGUGGUGGAGCUUUUCCAUCGCGUCGCCAGCCCCGUCUCCGCGUUUGGUGCUCGCCGCGCCGCCACCCGAGUCUGCCCCGGUGCUUCCUCCUCCAGUCUCCAACCCGGUGCUCCCGUUGCCGCUGCUCUCGGGAUGGCGAAGUGAGCGACGGUCUCCUCGACUGCGCGCCUGGACUGCUCGGGGUCGGAAACAUCGGCCGGGAAGACGAGAACGUCAGGCGCGGCGUGCUCCAGGGCGGCGUUGGCCACGGUCUUGAGCGUCUGCUCCCUCCGCGCAACCAGCGCAAGGCACAGGGCCCUUCCACCUUCCUUUCGCGUACUGACAACGCGACAUAUAGUUGGCCAUGAGAGAAUACUGGAGUUUGUCUAUUUCUAUUCAGAUAUGAGAUGCAAUGUCCAGCGCUGCCGAGGUUGAGGUGUAUGGUUGCCUUCAUCCUCAAACACGAGCUCAAGAGAAUAUCUCUGGUUGCCUUCAUCCUCAAACACGAUGUUUAUGUUUAGAGCAUGGUUUUCUAACUCACACUUCAUCUUCGAGCCAGCAGCCCGUGGGUUGCAAACACCUUCCCCCACAACCAUCUUCCCCACUAAGAGAAGCUUCCUCCCCAGGUCUUUCGUCGCCGCAGCAUCCCUCCCUCGUACAGGACAUUAGGCUCAAAUGGAGGCCUAUGUUGCUCAACCAAUAGAAGAAGGGCAAGAUCCGAAGACUCCUGUUGAAGCUGUAGCUCACGUUCUGCCAAAAUCAACUUUUUUUCUUAAUGGUGUUGUAUUUUAAAACUUGUGGAAUGCUUGUGAUAUUGCAGUCAUAUGUGGAGAUGUUCAUUCAUUUGAAUCAGAUUUUUGUAUGAGCUAAAGAUAUAUGAUAUAAUUAUAUGUGCUAAAAUAUUGCAUACUGUAAA
Sorghum bicolor (sorghum) is the source of this 1216-nucleotide long non-coding RNA. RefSeq lists it as uncharacterized. The transcript has 4 exons. NCBI's taxonomy places the organism in Eukaryota, Viridiplantae, Streptophyta, Magnoliopsida, Poales, Poaceae. The record is from RefSeq and is a predicted model, not a curated record.